AUUGAACGCUGGCGGAAUGCUUUACACAUGCAAGUCGAACGGUAGAGGGGGCAACCCCUUGAGAGUGGCGAACGGGUGAGUAAUAUAUCGGAACGUGCCCAGUCGUGGGGAUAACGUAGCGAAAGUUACGCUAAUACCGCAUACGAUCUAAGGAUGAAAGCGGGGGACUCGGCAAGAGCCUCGCGCGAUUGGAGCGGCCGAUAUCAGAUUAGGCAGUUGGUGGGGUAAAGGCUCACCAAGCCAACGAUCCCCUAGCUGGUUUGAGAGGAUGAUCAGCCACACUGGAACUGAGACACGGUCCAGACUCCUACGGGAGGCAGCAGUGGGGAAUAUUGGACAAUGGGCGCAAGCCUGAUCCAGCCAUGCCGCGUGUGUGAAGAAGGCCUCGGUGUUAAG
RNAcentral lists this ribosomal RNA (396 nucleotides) under uncultured bacterium. RNAcentral's name for it is "bacterial SSU rRNA". It matches the Rfam family "Bacterial small subunit ribosomal RNA", at positions 30 to 430 of the family's 1533-position model. The record is from RNAcentral.